GAUGAACGCUGGCGGCGUGCCUAAUACAUGCAAGUCGAGCGAACAGACGAGGAGCUUGCUCCUCUGAUGUUAGCGGCGGACGGGUGAGUAACACGUGGAUAACCUACCUAUAAGACUGGGAUAACUUCGGGAAACCGGAGCUAAUACCGGAUAACAUUUUGAACCGCAUGGUUCAACAGUGAAAGACGGUCUUGCGGUCACUUAUAGAUGGAUCCGCGCCGCAUUAGCUAGUUGGGAAGGCAAAGGCUUACCAAGGCAACGGUGAGUAGCCGCCCUGAGAGGGUGACCGGCCACACUGGAACUAGGACACCGUCCAGACUCCAACGGGAGGCAGCAGUAGGGAAUCUUCCGCAAUGGGCGAAAACCUGACGGAGCACCGCCGAGUGAGUGAAGAAGGUCUUCGGCUCGUAAAACUCUGUUAUUAGGGAAGAACAAAUGUGUAAGUAACUAUGCACGUCUUGACGGUACCUAAUCAGAAAGCCACGGCUAACUACGUG
Molecule: ribosomal RNA, 497 nt
Filed under: uncultured bacterium
Lineage: Bacteria
Description: partial 16S ribosomal RNA
Rfam family: Bacterial small subunit ribosomal RNA
Source: RNAcentral